This 721-nucleotide long non-coding RNA is filed under the name Ictidomys tridecemlineatus (thirteen-lined ground squirrel). RNAcentral's name for it is "lncRNA (ENSSTOG00000033934.1)". The record is from RNAcentral. Lineage: Eukaryota; Metazoa; Chordata; Mammalia; Rodentia; Sciuridae.
GCUCCGAGAAGCUGAGCCCUCACCCCGACAUUCGCAAUUUGUGGACCAUGGCCUCGCUGUCCGAGUCACAAAUGAACGUGCCGCUGUCCCAGGUCUGCAACAAAUACUACGAGGAGGUCACAGUCCCGGGCGACAAAACUCGCCGGCGGGCCAGCUUGAAGGGCCGCUGGAAGGACGAUGGGGAGUCCCUUUCUCUGAGGGACAAGGUCAGCUUCAAGACAGAGAAUACGGAAUUGAGCUCCGGCAGCUCCCAGCAAAACCGUGUGGAUGAGAAUACCAAUUCCGAGUUAGCUUCCGCUGCCCCUGAUGGAACUCAUGGAGAAUGAAGCUCUGGAAAUCCUCACCAAAGCCCUCAAGAGCUACCGGUCCGUGAUCGGCAGGGACCAUUUCAUGACUAAAGAGCUGCAGCGAUACGUCGAGGGGCUCAGGAGGCGCAGGAAUAAGAGGCUGUACUGCACUUUUCAGUGAACUCCCGACUCCAGCAGCCGCCUGACUCUAACCCUUGCCCUGCCCUGUCCUGUCCCCAGACCCAAGUGGAAUUUUAGCCCUAGAGAAAUUAAAAGAGUCUAUACGUGCUUUGUGAGUCAGUGCGUGGCUUCCCGCGUGAGGCGGACGCACGUGGCCCCGCCCUUCCCCGUGACCUUCAUUCGGUCACCGCAGUGACCUUGAGUUUUCUCUGUCCGGGUCUUAACGGCCCUGCCUUCCAGGGAUUCGUAGUCCA